Leptonychotes weddellii (Weddell seal) is the source of this 406-nucleotide non-coding RNA. Lineage: Eukaryota; Metazoa; Chordata; Mammalia; Carnivora; Phocidae. The record is from RefSeq and is a predicted model, not a curated record.
GCCGUGUGAGGACCGCAGGCCCGCGGGGGUGCUGGGCUCACGGCGCGGGACCCCGCCUUCCCCAGCCCGCCGUCGACUCCCGGGGGAAGCUCCUGGGAGGGGACGGGAGAUGCUUCAGUAGGUCUCUGGCACUGGGCGAAGGUGGUAGGCGGCUUUCCUGUCUGCCAAGCACUGCGAUCUGCUUAGCAUCGGAACACUCUCUUUAGACUUCGACAUGGCAUCCUCCAAGAAGGUUACCCUGUCAGUGCUGAGCCGGGAGCAGUCGGAAGGGGUUGGAGCCAGGGUCCGCAGAAGCAUUGGCAGACCCGAGUUAAAAAAUCUGGAUCCAUUUUUACUGUUUGAUGAAUUUAAAGGAGGUAGACCAGGUGGAUUUCCUGAUCACCCACAUCGAGGUUUUGAGACAGUA